This is a long non-coding RNA of Tupaia belangeri chinensis (Chinese tree shrew), 987 nucleotides long. RefSeq lists it as uncharacterized. The transcript has 3 exons. The record is from RefSeq and is a predicted model, not a curated record. Lineage: Eukaryota; Metazoa; Chordata; Mammalia; Scandentia; Tupaiidae.
GAGGGCGGGACCGUCCUUGUCACGUGGCCUGAGCUGUGGCCCAGCAGGCUGAGAACGGGCCAGGUGGAGCGACAGAGUCCCACGGUUCUCCACGGAGCCGCGGCCCGCAGGGACGUCUUCCUCGGCCUCUGUCCUUACACUGACUGGUCACACUAGCCUGGGCCCCAGCCCGGCAUCAUGCAGCACUCGCCCUCAGGGGAGGAGCAGUGCUUCAGUGUUCGGGAAGUAACCUGCACUGGCUCGAUCCAUCUCCACGGCUACUUUUGUUUGACCAGGAUACUGUCUGCCUCCAGAUCCUGACCAUAUCGGUACCUGAUUUGCCGAGCGCCUGACGUUUGUGACAGUCACACAUUGCUGGUUGGCACAUUUAGGCUCUUCAUUCCUAAAAUACCAACUUCCACAAUGAGGAGCCCUACGUGAGCUGUUGGAUUAUGCUGGCUACCAUACGGGACUGUCGGCUGGUCAUACGGGGAGAGUCCUCCCGUGGGAGUCGAACACUGGCUUUCUCAGGUUGGCUUCUCCCACUUAGCGACAUGCAUUUAAGGUUCCUGCGUGUAGGUGUCAGGGCCUGAUAGCGCAUUUCUGGUUAUUGCUGAACAAUAUCCCGUUGCACGAAUGUUCCCCAAUUUCCCCAUUUUCCUGUCUCGGUUGUUCCCGUGUUUUGAAUAAAGCUGCUGUUAACACGCAUGUGCAGGUUUCUGUGUGGACGUCAGUUUUAAACUCAUUUAGCAAAUAGCAAAAACGCACAGUAGCCGCAUCAUAUGGUAAUAGAAUAUUUACAUUCGUAAGAAAUGCCAAACUGUCUUCUCAAGUUACUGAACCAUUUUGAGCUCCCACAAACAAGACACGAGAAUUCCUGCUUCUCUUUGCUGGUAUUCAGCGUCAUCGGUAUUCUGGAUUCUAGCCUUUCUAAUAGGUAUCUCACUGUUUUACUGUGAGAAAACCUCAGAAACGGUUAUUGGAAGAUGGGAUUAAAGUACAAGUUUC